AAUACAUGCAAGUCGAGCGGACAGAAGGGAGCUUGCUCCCGGACGUUAGCGGCGGACGGGUGAGUAACACGUAGGUAACCUGCCCCUUAGACUGGGAUAACUCCGGGAAACCGGAGCUAAUACGGGAUAAUAAAGAGAAUCACCUGAUUCUCUUUUGAAAGACGGUUUCGGCUGUCACUAAGGGAUGGGCCUGCGGCGCAUUAGCUAGUUGGUAAGGUAACGGCUUACCAAGGCGACGAUGCGUAGCCGACCUGAGAGGGUGAUCGGCCACACUGGGACUGAGACACGGCCCAGACUCCUACGGGAGGCAGCAGUAGGGAAUCUUCCGCAAUGGACGAAAGUCUGACGGAGCAACGCCGCGUGAGUGAGGAAGGCCUUCGGGUCGUAAAGCUCUGUUGUGAGGGAAGAACAAGUACCGGGGUAACUACCGGUACCUUGACGGUACCUCACCAGAAAGCCACGGCUAACUACGUGCCAGCAGCCGCGGUAAUACGUAGGUGGCAAGCGUUGUCCGGAAUUAUUGGGCGUAAAGCGCGCGCAGGCGGCUUCUUAAGUCUGAUGUGAAAUCUCGGGGCUCAACCCCGAGCGGCCAUUGGAAACUGGGAAGCUUGAGUGCAGAAGAGGAGAGUGGAAUUCCACGUGUAGCGGUGAAAUGCGUAGAUAUGUGGAGGAACACCAGUGGCGAAGGCGACUCUCUGGUCUGUAACUGACGCUGAGGCGCGAAA
RNAcentral lists this ribosomal RNA (725 nucleotides) under Bacillus sp. T46. RNAcentral describes it as "bacterial SSU rRNA". It matches the Rfam family "Bacterial small subunit ribosomal RNA", at positions 50 to 758 of the family's 1533-position model. Lineage: Bacteria; Bacillati; Bacillota; Bacilli; Caryophanales; Bacillaceae. RNAcentral also lists the same sequence under 1 other name. The record is from RNAcentral.